AUUGAACGCUGGCGGCAGGCUUAACACAUGCAAGUCGAGCGGGGUGAUGGUGCUUGCACUAUCACUUAGCGGCGGACGGGUGAGUAAUGCUUAGGAAUCUGCCUAUUAGUGGGGGACAACAUCUCGAAAGGGAUGCUAAUACCGCAUACGUCCUACGGGAGAAAGCAGGGGAUCACUUGUGACCUUGCGCUAAUAGAUGAGCCCAAGUCGGAUUAGCUAGUUGGUGGGGUAAAGGCCUACCAAGGCGACGAUCUGUAGCGGGUCUGAGAGGAUGAUCCGCCACACUGGGAAUGAGACACGGCCCAGACUCCUACGGGAGGCAGCAGUGGGGAAUAUUGGACAAUGGGGGGAACCCUGAUCCAGCCAUGCCGCGUGUGUGAAGAAGGCCUUAUGGUUGUAAAGCACUUUAAGCGAGGAGGAGUCUCUUUUGGUUAAUACCCAAGAUGAGUGGACGUUACUCGCAGAAUAAGCACCGGCUAACUCUGUGCCAGCAGCCGCCGUAA
RNAcentral lists this ribosomal RNA (503 nucleotides) under uncultured bacterium. RNAcentral's name for it is "partial 16S ribosomal RNA". It matches the Rfam family "Bacterial small subunit ribosomal RNA", at positions 30 to 523 of the family's 1533-position model. The record is from RNAcentral.